Molecule: ribosomal RNA, 336 nt
Filed under: Palaemnema melanostigma
Lineage: Eukaryota; Metazoa; Arthropoda; Insecta; Odonata; Platystictidae
Description: partial 12S ribosomal RNA
Source: RNAcentral
GUAUUAGUUAUGUUCUUGAAACCCAAAGGAUUUGGCGGUACUUUAUUCUGUUCAGAGGAACCUGUCCCUUAAUUGAUAUUCCACGAUUUUUAUUUACUUUCUUUUGUUUAACAGCUUGUAUACCUCCGUCAUCAGAAUAUCUUUUUAGGGUUAAUUUUCUUAUCAUUCUUUUAAUAUUAUGUCAGGUCAAGGUGCAGUUUAUAGGGAAGUGCUGAGAUGGGUUACAAUAUUUAUUUAUUUAUACGGAUUUAAUAAUUUGAUUUUUUUAAUGAAGGUGGAUUUGAUAGUAAAUUUUUAUUUUUUAUGAAGUUGAUUUUGUUUCUAAAGUAUGUACAC